GCGGCAAGAAACUAUGUUAAUCGGAUGUGCCACGCGGCAAACCGCCCACUCAUCGAUUCUGGAUCCGGUGGUUAUUUUGGACAAGUUUCGGUGAGAAAUUCGCUAUUUUUGAUGAAAAAUUAACGGUUUUGGCCUUAAAAUGUGAUUUUUGGCUUCAAAACACAAAUUUAACCGAAAGUUAGUAAUUUUAAGUUUUAAAAAUACAUUUUUACGUUAAAAAUUGCAAUUUUUCCAGGUGAUCAUGCGUGGAAAGACGGAAUGCUACGAGUGUGUGGAUAAGCCAGUUCAACAGACAACCUACCCGGGAUGUACGAUCAGAAAUACUCCAAGCGAGCAUAUUCAUUGCACAGUUUGGGCGAAACACGUCUUUAAGUGCGUAAAAUUGACGAAAAUUCCGAUAUUCAACGGAAAAAUAAAAAAUUUCGCACAUUUUCUGGCUACGUGGCCUUCCCGCAACUCAUUUCACGCCAAAAUGCGGAUUUUGUGCAUUUUGUCGUAGGAUCCGACGGUGUUUGCGUACUUUUGAGACUACCGUAACCCGAAAAUACCAGAAAACAUAGAAUCUAACGAGAAAAGGCACAAAUGUAUUGAAACUCAAGAUUUUUCGCCGAAAAACUCUAAAACUUGAGCGAAAAGUUUUUUUUUUUUGAAAAAUUCGGUUUCAAUUUCGAAAUUUUAUGCAGAAACUGACUAAAUUUGCUGAAUAAUGGAUAUUUAUGGCAUUAUUCAGGGCAUUUAGUCGAUUUUUGCUUAAAAUUUUGAAUUGCAAGCCGAAUUUUUUAAGGAAAAAAUAAACUUUUCGCUCAAGUUUUAGAAUUUUUCAUGAAAAAAUCCAAAAUUUCGAGACAUUUGUGCAUUUUCUCGUCAGUUUCUAUGUUUUCUGGUAUUUUUGGGUUACUGUAGCCUUAAAUGUACGCAAACACCGUCGGAGGAUCCUCGGAAAUUUGUGCACUUUGUCGUAAGAUCCGGCGUUGUUUGCAUACUUUUGAGGCUACAGUAAUCCAAAAAUAUCGAAAAAAAAACCGAUUUUUCAAGGUUUUAAAGCAAUUUUUAAAUUUUUAAUACGUUUUCAAUUUCAGUCAGCUGUUCGGUGAGGUGGAUAUCGACGAUGACGUGUCACCGGACAUGGAUGCAGUGGAUCCGGAUAAUACUGAGGCUGUUACCACUGAAAAAGAGAAAGAAGCAAUGAAAGAAGAGCCCGCGCCAGUUGGAACACGUCAAUGGGCUGAAAGUGUGGAUUAUGAUGCUGCAAAAGUGUUCGACAAG
RNAcentral lists this small RNA (1266 nucleotides) under Caenorhabditis elegans. RNAcentral's name for it is "Unclassified non-coding RNA B0019.6". The record is from RNAcentral. Lineage: Eukaryota; Metazoa; Nematoda; Chromadorea; Rhabditida; Rhabditidae.